UUAGGUCAGUUUAUUAAUUAAGUUUUGUAGUUUUAUUAUUAAAAAUAUUUAUUUUAAAUACUUAUUAUUAUUAAAGAAAAAUUUUAUUUGCUUGUUCUGUGAGGGAAAAUAAUUUUAUGGUUAUAGAAUAAAUUAAAUGUAGUACCUUUUGUAUCAGGGAAUUUUAAUAUUUAAAAUAUUUUUUUUUUCCCGAAAAAAAUAAGAGUUAUAUAAAUUUAAUUAAAAAGUUAACUGUGACAAAAGUUAAUUAGAUUUUUAUAUCGUAGUGAGAUGUUAUUCGUUUUUUUUGAUAUCUGGUUUCUUUAAAAAUUAUUUUAGAUAGGUGUUUAGAUUUUGUUAUUUUUAAAUAUUUAAUUUAUUAGGGCUAAGCUUAGUAUUUUAAUAAUUAUAUAACAAUAUUAAUUUAUAGAUAUGUAGGCUUUAAAGUGGCUAUUUGUUUAAUAACAUAUGUUUAUUAAAUUUAUAUUAAUUAAAUAAAAAGAAGGUUAAAAAAUUUAAAAUUUUUUUUAUAAUGAGAUUAUUAGUAGAAAAUUUUUAAGGGAUUUUUAAUAAGUUUAAAGGUACCCUCUAAACCAAAUUAUAUUUUUUUAAGGAACUCGGCAAAAUAUUUUUUCGACUGUUUAUCAAAAACAUUUUUUUAAGGUUAUUAAAUUAAAAUAAGCCCUGCUCUAUGAUAUUAUUAUUUAUUAAAUAGCCGCAGUAUACUGACUGUGCAAAGGUAGCAUAAUCAUUUGGUCCUUAAUUGGGAUCUUGUAUGAAGGGGUUAACGAAAAUUAGCUGUCUUAAAAAAAUACUUUGAAUUUUAAUUUUUUGUAAUAAUGCAAAAAUUUAUUUAAGGGACGAUAAGACCCUAUAAAGCUUUAUUUUAAAUAAAAUCUAGUUUUAGACAUAUUAUUUUUUACUAAAAAUUUUACUGGGGUGGUAUGUUAAAGUCAAAACUAAUAUAUUUUAAAAUUUUUGAUCCAAUUUUAUUGAUAAUAAGAUUAAGUUACUUUAGGGAUAACAGCAUAAUCCGUUUAGGGAGUUCAAAUCGAAGAAUGGGAUUAUGACCUCGAUGUUGAAUUAAAAUUUCUUUAGGGUGCAGGAGCUUUAAAAGAUAGUCUGUUCGACUAGUAAUAUUUUACAUGAUUUGAGUUCAAACCGGUGUAAGCCAGGUUGGUUUCUAUCUUUAGUUAAUUAUUUAUGGAUUAAAUUAGUACGAAAGGAUUUUUUAAUCAAAAUUAUUUUAAAAAAUUUUUAUAAU
This 1243-nucleotide ribosomal RNA is filed under the name Phalangium opilio (common harvesterman). RNAcentral describes it as "16S ribosomal RNA". The stretch from base 834 to 1171 matches the Rfam family "Archaeal large subunit ribosomal RNA", at positions 2151 to 2715 of the family's 2987-position model. The record is from RNAcentral. Lineage: Eukaryota; Metazoa; Arthropoda; Arachnida; Opiliones; Phalangiidae.